UGCAACGCGAAAAACCUUACCUACCCUUGACAUGUCACUAACGAAGUAGAGAUACAUUAGGUGCCCGUAAGGGAAAGUGAACACAGGUGCUGCAUGGCUGUCGUCAGCUCGUGUCGUGAGAUGUUGGGUUAAGUCCCGCAACGAGCGCAACCCUUGUCUUUAGUUGCCACGCAAGAGCACUCUAAAGAGACUGCCGGUGACAAACCGGAGGAAGGUGGGGAUGACGUCAAGUCCUCAUGGCCCUUAUGGGUAGGGCUUCACACGUCAUACAAUGGUGCAUACAGAGGGUUGCCAACCCGCGAGGGGGAGCUAAUCUCAGAAAAUGCAUCGUAGUCCGGAUCGUAGUCUGCAACUCGACUACGUGAAGCUGGAAUCGCUAGUAAUCGCGGA
RNAcentral lists this ribosomal RNA (390 nucleotides) under uncultured Polynucleobacter sp. RNAcentral's name for it is "bacterial SSU rRNA". It matches the Rfam family "Bacterial small subunit ribosomal RNA", at positions 955 to 1348 of the family's 1533-position model. The record is from RNAcentral. Lineage: Bacteria; Pseudomonadati; Pseudomonadota; Betaproteobacteria; Burkholderiales; Burkholderiaceae.